GGCGGGCUAGGUGCGAGUAGGGGCGGGAAAUCGUAGUGCGGGUGAGGUGUCUGGAAGUAGUGGGCGUAAAGAGCUCGUGGGCGGUUGGCCGGGUCGGGCGUGAAAGGCCGGGGCUGAGGCCCGGGGCGGGGGGGGGGACGGGCAGACGGGAGGGCAGGAGGGGAGACCGGAAUUCCUGGGGUAGCGGUGAAAUGCGCAGAUAUCAGGAGGAACACCGAUGGCGAAGGCAGGUCUCUGGGCUGUAACUGACGCUGAGGAGCGAAAGCAUGGGGAGCGAACAGGAUUAGAUACCCAGUAGUC
Molecule: ribosomal RNA, 300 nt
Filed under: uncultured Acidilobus sp.
Lineage: Archaea; Thermoproteati; Thermoproteota; Thermoprotei; Acidilobales; Acidilobaceae
Description: bacterial SSU rRNA
Rfam family: Bacterial small subunit ribosomal RNA
Source: RNAcentral